GGUCUGUGCUUCUCACUUAAUUUUACUUGAUUAUCGAAGUCAACUUACCAUUAAAUAAUUGAAUAGUGUAUUUAAGAUAACUGAGGAUAUGGUUUGAAUUUAAAUGCCCCAAAAAAUAUAUGUUGAAAGGGGUGAAUACUUUUAUCAUUUUGAAACCAGGUCGUGAUUCAGAGUAAUGAUGAUAUUGCCAGCAGAGCUAUAGAUCUCCUCAAAGAGAUAUACACAAACCUUGGUCCAAGACUACAAGUCAAUCAGGUGGUGAUCCAUGAAGACUUCAUUCAGUCUUGUUUUGAUCGUCUGAAGGCUUCCUAUGACACGUUGUGUGUUUUGGAUGGUGACAAAGACAGUGUUAAUUGUGCAAGACAGGAAGCUGUUCGAAUGGUUCGAGUAUUAACUGUUUUAAGGGAAUAUAUAAAUGAAUGUGACAGUGAUUAUCAUGAGGAAAGAACAAUUCUCCCUAUGUCAAGAGCAUUCCGUGGUAAACACCUCUCUUUUGUAGUUCGAUUUCCAAACCAGGGCAGACAGGUUGAUGACUUGGAGGUAUGGUCUCAUACAAAUGAUACAAUUGGUUCAGUACGACGAUGUAUUCUCAAUCGUAUUAAAGCCAACGUAGCCCACACAAAAAUUGAGCUCUUUGUGGGCGGUGAGCUGAUAGAUCCUGCAGAUGAUAGAAAGUUGAUUGGACAAUUAAACUUAAAAGAUAAAUCGCUUAUUACAGCCAAACUUACACAAAUAAGUUCCAAUAUGCCUUCAAGCCCUGAUAGCUCUUCUGAUUCCUCCACUGGAUCUCCUGGAAACCAUGGUAAUCAUUACAGUGAUGGUCCCAAUCCAGAAGUGGAAAGCUGUUUGCCUGGAGUGAUAAUGUCACUGCAUCCCAGAUACAUCUCUUUUCUUUGGCAAGUUGCAGACUUAGGUAGCAGCCUAAAUAUGCCACCGCUUAGAGAUGGAGCAAGAGUACUUAUGAAACUUAUGCCGCCAGAUAGCACAACAAUAGAAAAAUUAAGAGCUAUUUGUUUAGACCAUGCCAAACUUGGAGAAAGCAGCCUUAGUCCAUCUCUUGACUCACUUUUCUUUGGUCCUUCAGCCUCACAAGUGCUAUAUCUAACAGAGAUCAACCAAGUUACCCAUGAUCAAGCAGUGGUGCUACAAAGUGCCCUUCAGAGCAUUCCUAAUCCAUCAUCCGAGUGCAUGCUUAGAAAUGUGUCAGUUCGUCUUGCUCAGCAGAUAUCUGAUGAGGUUAGUUUUAUCAAGACUUCUGUCACAAUUUUAACUUUCCUAGGCCCACUUACUUUAAUCACUGUCUCAUCCUUUAGAUAAUGUUCCCUUAGUAUCAGUUUUGUCUACUAUUAAUAUUAGUACUUUCUGUUUUUAAUCAACUAUAUGUAUAAUAAACAGCAUCCUUUUAAAGUAUACAGAUUGGGUGAUUUUUUUUUUUUUUUUUUUUUUU
This 1447-nucleotide long non-coding RNA is filed under the name Rhinopithecus bieti (black snub-nosed monkey). Its description in RNAcentral is "lncRNA (ENSRBIG00000045289.1)". The record is from RNAcentral. Lineage: Eukaryota; Metazoa; Chordata; Mammalia; Primates; Cercopithecidae.